This 629-nucleotide ribosomal RNA is filed under the name Burkholderia sp. IBa228. Its description in RNAcentral is "bacterial SSU rRNA". It matches the Rfam family "Bacterial small subunit ribosomal RNA", at positions 387 to 1009 of the family's 1533-position model. The record is from RNAcentral. Lineage: Bacteria; Pseudomonadati; Pseudomonadota; Betaproteobacteria; Burkholderiales; Burkholderiaceae.
UCCAGCAAUGCCGCGUGUGUGAAGAAGGCCUCCGGGUUGUAAAGCACUUUUGUCCGGAAAGAAAUCCUUGGCUCUAAUACAGUCGGGGGAUGACGGUACCGGAAGAAUAAGCACCGGCUAACUACGUGCCAGCAGCCGCGGUAAUACGUAGGGUGCGAGCGUUAAUCGGAAUUACUGGGCGUAAAGCGUGCGCAGGCGGUUUGCUAAGACCGAUGUGAAAUCCCCGGGCUCAACCUGGGAACUGCAUUGGUGACUGGCAGGCUAGAGUAUGGCAGAGGGGGGUAGAAUUCCACGUGUAGCAGUGAAAUGCGUAGAGAUGUGGAGGAAUACCGAUGGCGAAGGCAGCCCCCUGGGCCAAUACUGACGCUCAUGCACGAAAGCGUGGGGAGCAAACAGGAUUAGAUACCCUGGUAGUCCACGCCCUAAACGAUGUCAACUAGUUGUUGGGGAUUCAUUUCCUUAGUAACGUAGCUAACGCGUGAAGUUGACCGCCUGGGGAGUACGGUCGCAAGAUUAAAACUCAAAGGAAUUGACGGGGACCCGCACAAGCGGUGGAUGAUGUGGAUUAAUUCGAUGCAACGCGAAAAACCUUACCUACCCUUGACAUGGUCGGAAUCCUGCUGAGAGGU